Molecule: ribosomal RNA, 718 nt
Filed under: uncultured Thermocrinis sp.
Lineage: Bacteria; Pseudomonadati; Aquificota; Aquificia; Aquificales; Aquificaceae
Description: bacterial SSU rRNA
Rfam family: Bacterial small subunit ribosomal RNA
Source: RNAcentral
UUAGAGUUUGAUCCUGGCUCAGCGCGAACGCUGGCGGCGUGCCUAACACAUGCAAGUCGUACGGAGGGGUGAUGAGCUCCUCAGCGGCAAACGGGUGAGUAACACGUGAGUAACCUACCCUUGGGAAGGGGAUAACCCUCCGAAAGGAGGGCUAAUACCCUAUACUGCCGAGGACCACUAAGGUUUCUCGGUGAAAGGUGGCCUCUGCUCUGCAUGCUACCGCCCAAGGAGGGGCUCGCGGCCCAUCAGGUAGUUGGUGGGGUAACGGCCUACCAAGCCUAUGACGGGUAGCCGGCCUGAGAGGGUGGUCGGCCACAGUGGGACUGAGACACGGCCCACACCCCUACGGGGGGCAGCAGUGGGGAAUCGUGGGCAAUGGGCGAAAGCCUGACCCCGCGACGCCGCGUGGAGGAAGAAGCCCUUCGGGGUGUAAACUCCUGUCGGGGGGACGAUGUGUCUUGGGGUGAAUAAUCCCAGGGCAUGACGGUACCCCCAGAGGAAGGGACGGCUAACUACGUGCCAGCAGCCGCGGUAAUACGUAGGUCCCGAGCGUUGCGCGAAUUCACUGGGCGUAAAGCGUCCGCAGCCGGACGGGUAAGCGGUGCGUCAAAGCCCACCGCUCAACGGUGGAACGGCGUACCGAACUGCCUGUCUUGAGGCACGCUUAGGCAGGCGGAAUUCCCGGUGUAGCGGUGAAAUGCGUAGAUAUCGGGAGGAA